This 447-nucleotide ribosomal RNA is filed under the name uncultured bacterium. RNAcentral's name for it is "partial 16S ribosomal RNA". It matches the Rfam family "Bacterial small subunit ribosomal RNA", at positions 331 to 793 of the family's 1533-position model. The record is from RNAcentral.
CCAGACUCCUACGGGAGGCAGCAGUGGGGAAUAUUGGGUAAUGGGCGCAAGCCUGACCCAGCAACGCCGCGUGAAGGAAGAAGGCUUUCGGGUUGUAAACUUCUUUUGUCAGGGACGAAGCAAGUGACGGUACCUGACGAAUAAGCCACGGCUAACUACGUGCCAGCAGCCGCGGUAAUACGGAGGAUGCGGGCGUUAUCCGGAUUUAUUGGGUUUAAAGGGUGCGUAGGCGGACUGGAAAGUCAGCGGUAAAAUCGAGGGGCUCACCCUCUUUCCGCCGUUGAAACUGUCGGUCUUGAGUGGGCGAGAAGUAUGCGGAAUGCGUGGUGUAGCGGUGAAAUGCAUAGAUAUCACGCAGAACUCCGAUUGCGAAGGCAGCAUACCGGCGCCCGACUGACGCUGAGGCACGAAAGCGUGGGUAUCGAACAGGAUUAGAUACCCCGGUAA